UACCAAGGACAGUAAAGAUACAGGCAGGCUAACCCCGCCAGGUCCGAAAGGAAGCAACGGUAACUUGACCUUAUCUGUUACUGUCCUUGGCCUUU
Methylacidiphilum fumariolicum SolV is the source of this 95-nucleotide non-coding RNA. It matches the Rfam family "Bacterial small signal recognition particle RNA". Rfam says of the family: The signal recognition particle (SRP) is a universally conserved ribonucleoprotein involved in the co-translational targeting of proteins to membranes. Archaeal SRP consists of a 7S RNA and homologues of the eukaryotic SRP19 and SRP54 proteins. In most bacteria, the SRP consists of a 4.5S RNA and the Ffh protein (a homologue of the eukaryotic SRP54 protein). The record is from Rfam. NCBI's taxonomy places the organism in Bacteria, Pseudomonadati, Verrucomicrobiota, Methylacidiphilae, Methylacidiphilales, Methylacidiphilaceae.